Pelobates cultripes (western spadefoot toad) is the source of this 263-nucleotide non-coding RNA. The record is from the annotation of a GenBank genome assembly. Lineage: Eukaryota; Metazoa; Chordata; Amphibia; Anura; Pelobatidae.
GGCAUAUACAAUUUUGAGGCAGUGUUUCAUAAUAAUUUGAAUAUCAGAUCAGCAUCUGUGCUUUCUAUGCUCUCAAAAAUUUGAAAUCCACAUAUUUAUUUUUUAUAAAACUGCACCGACACACAGCCUCAAGCUGACAGAUAAACCCUAACAAUAUCCAGAUAAUUCUGCUAUUUAUACAGUGAACAUCAGAAAAUCCAUAUUGACACAUCAUUUACAUUUGGCAGUAACAUUUGCCAUUGAUCCAGCAAUUGGCAAAAUUG